UAGUAAUAUGAUGUUAUAUGUCUCUUUGGAAUAAACUUGCCUUGGCAGUAGAAUUGUUUUUGUUGCUCUUGGGAAAUUUAUAAUUUAAGCAGCAUGGGAAGCCAAGUGUAUGUCCCUCGUGAACGUAAUAUGGUGGAGAACUUCAAUAUAAUACCGGUAAGUGUAUUUUAUGUGAGCUGGUUUCCCCAAGGAUGGUGAUACAACUUCUGUCAUUUUAGACCAAACAGGCUGGCGGCGAAAUUAAUUUUGACUACGGUACAAUCUAAGAAUGUUCAUACAACAGGGUAUAUAGUUAUAUAGCUACCAUGCAUUUGACAUCGGACCAGAUGUUUAGAUCAUUGUGUUAAAUUUGGAUGUUCAGGAUGCUUUAGCAAAUAAUCGGAAGUAACCAUGGGCGUUUUUCGUCAGCAAAUAGAUAACUGCAUUAUGAAAGAUUUAAAGAACUGUCAUUAAACUACAUGUAUGUCAUUAAACAAAAUCGUAACUGUUAGUGGUCAUCUGAUCUUUAAAUUUUCGUUUUGAGUCGAUCGAAAUUUUUACACAAACAAUCAAUCUUUUAACCGUAUUGGAAUUUGACAUCAAGUAAAAACAGCUGUGUGUGUGCAGAAAACUGUAACAUGUGUCAUAGUACGUUCAUAUCAUCUUACUUCGAAAAUAAUUUCUUAGUAAACACCGUUAUCUUUCGGAAUUAAUCGGCUUGACCUUUGUAGUGUAUUAAGGAUUUAGCAGUGAAAAUGUGUAACAGAUUUGAACGAUUAAGAAUUGAAAAAUUCUGCUAUAGACUGUGAGAUUUAUCUCGUCGUAUAUUACCAAAUUACAAGGAAAACAUAAACUUGUUUUCAAACAUUGAUAUUGAAUUCAAUUUGUUAUCAAUUAUUUAUUUUUGAUGAAUUAAAAUUAGCAGACAAUAAACGGGAUAGACACACACUUUAUGAAACUUUGAUUACAGUCUUUACUUACAGGAAAAACACUUCUUAUUUUAUUUAGUUUGAUGAAAAAUCUGACCUACAUAUGGAGAUGAAUAACUGGUUUCUUAGUUUUUAACAAAAGGUUUAUUUAUUUUGUGUCAUUAAAAUUUUCAGAAUAAAACAGAUGAUUACCAAUUGGUAUUAUUCAUAAAUUAAAAAGAGUUGUGCACAAUGUUAAAAAACAUCUAAUUAGAGGACAGAAUCCAAUUAUCCCUUAUUCAAAAAUAUCUUUAGGGAAGUUGAACACGUGGGGAAUCUCUGACAUGAAAAUAUCAAUUACAGUAGCGCACGGAGAAACCUUCAUAUGGAAAACCGCCUCUUCCUCGUGUGAACAUGAUACACAUGAUAGUAUUUAGUACAGUUAUAAGUCUUUUAGAAAUAGUAUGAAAAGAGAAAAUAUUUACAUAGGACACAUUCAUCCACAUGAGAUAUUUCACUUUCAUUAUGGAUGUGUUGUCCUGUUAUAAAUUAACUGUUACCAUAAAUUACUUAAAACCCUUACUAAAUUUUUACAUAGAUAUAAAGAUUUGGUAUUGGAAAUUCAUUAUCAGAGCUCGUGUAAUAUAUAUGUAGCAAACACAAUACGUUUGACUUUAGUGGGUGCUGCAGUUGGAUUUAUUAUAGGUGUGGUUGUUCGGAAUACAAACCCAACGGACAGCACACUCAUGUGGGUUGCUAAGUAAAUUAAAGAAACUCUGGUAACAUUUUUUUUACAACGCCCUUUUUCAGUUUUUAUUGAUUCUGAACAAACCACAAGUUUUAAAUCAAACAGAAAACAGUUAUUCAAAGUAACUGUUGUUAUCCAUUCUUUUAAAAGAGGGACGAAAGAUACCAAAGGGACAGUCAAACUCAUAAAUCUAAAACAAACUGACAACGCCAUGGCUAAAAAUGAAAAAGACAAACAAACAACAGCACACACGACACAAUAUAGAAACCUAAAGAAUAAACAACACGAACCCCACAAAAAAAAUAUGGGUGAUCUCAGGUGCUCCGGAAGGGUAAGCAGAUCCUGCUCCACAUGGGCACCCGUCGUGUUGCUUAUGUGAUAACAAAUCCGUUAAUUAGUCUAAUUUGGUAGGUCACAUUCAUGAAAGGGAAGGGGAUUGUAGUUACGACGUAAGGAACAUAUCCGAUGUCAUUAUUUAAUGUGAUUGGGCUAUUGAUUUUGCCAUUUGAUUACGGACUUCCCGUUUUGAUUGUGUGGAAAAAAUCUGUCGAAUGCUAAUAGUACAAAUGUUCUAGGUAUAGUCCUGCCAAAAAGAUUUGUUUGGUAUUGUUAUAUAACAUGUGAACAAUGUAUAAAUAUAUAUAAACGAACUUUUUUACGUUCGGAAUGAAUAAUAAAGAAAUGUAUAUUAUACUAUUUAUUUAGAUCUUUUGAUUGCCAGUGUUAUAUUUGGCAUUGCCACGGCGUCAACAAAAGAAAUUGGACAACCAUUCUUCAAGUUCUUCUACUCAGCUACUGAAAUUAUCUUGGUGAUAUUAGGAAAAUUAAUUUGGUAAGGAUUCAAAAUAAAGAUAAUAACUUCAUUAUAGACACAAGGCUUAACACGAAACGCGCAAUUUAUCUAUAAACAAUUCAACAGUGACGCUCAAAUUAAAAACUUUUCAAAGGUCAUUGUGAUGAAUGUUCCCUUUCUUUAUGCGUAUAAAUACUUUGAAACAGAAGUUGUGUUGAUGGAAUUUUACUGUUAAUUGAUUUUACCACAUUUUACGUCACCAG
This 2691-nucleotide long non-coding RNA is filed under the name Mytilus galloprovincialis (Mediterranean mussel). The record is from RNAcentral. Lineage: Eukaryota; Metazoa; Mollusca; Bivalvia; Mytilida; Mytilidae.